RNAcentral lists this microRNA precursor (107 nucleotides) under Microtus ochrogaster (prairie vole). RNAcentral's name for it is "miRNA (ENSMOCG00000009348.1)". The record is from RNAcentral. Lineage: Eukaryota; Metazoa; Chordata; Mammalia; Rodentia; Cricetidae.
AGAAAUGCCUCCAUGAGACCCAGCUGUAAGGCAUUUUCUCAAUUAGUGAUUGAUGGGGAAGUGCCCAGGCCAUGGUGGGUGGUGCCAUCCCUGGGCUGCUGGUCCUG